RNAcentral lists this ribosomal RNA (1434 nucleotides) under uncultured bacterium. Its description in RNAcentral is "bacterial SSU rRNA". It matches the Rfam family "Bacterial small subunit ribosomal RNA". The record is from RNAcentral.
AGAGUUUGAUCCUGGCUCAGGAUGAACGCCGGCGGUGUGCCUAAUACAUGCAAGUCGUACGCACUGGCCCAACUGAUUGAUGGUGCUUGCACCUGAUUGACGAUGGAUCACCAGUGAGUGGCGGACGGGUGAGUAACACGUAGGUAACCUGCCUCGGAGCGGGGGAUAACAUUUGGAAACAGAUGCUAAUACCGCAUAACAACAAAAGCCACAUGGCUUUUGUUUGAAAGAUGGCUUUGGCUAUCACUCUGGGAUGGACCUGCGGUGCAUUAGCUAGUUGGUAAGGUAACGGCUUACCAAGGCAAUGAUGCAUAGCCGAGUUGAGAGACUGAUCGGCCACAAUGGAACUGAGACACGGUCCAUACUCCUACGGGAGGCAGCAGUAGGGAAUCUUCCACAAUGGGCGCAAGCCUGAUGGAGCAACACCGCGUGAGUGAAGAAGGGUUUCGGCUCGUAAAGCUCUGUUGUUGGAGAAGAACGUGCGUGAGAGUAACUGUUCACGCAGUGUCGGUAUCCAACCAGAAAGUCACGGCUAACUACGUGCCAGCAGCCGCGGUAAUACGUAGGUGGCAAGCGUUAUCCGGAUUUAUUGGGCGUAAAGCGAGCGCAGGCGGUUGCUUAGGUCUGAUGUGAAAGCCUUCGGCUUAACCGAAGAAGUGCAUCGGAAACCGGGCGACUUGAGUGCAGAAGAGGACAGUGGAACUCCAUGUGUAGCGGUGGAAUGCGUAGAUAUAUGGAAGAACACCAGUGGCGAAGGCGGCUGUCUGGUCUGCAACUGACGCUGAGGCUCGAAAGCAUGGGUAGCGAACAGGAUUAGAUACCCUGGUAGUCCAUGCCGUAAACGAUGAGUGCUAGGUGUUGGAGGGUUUCCGCCCUUCAGUGCCGGAGCUAACGCAUUAAGCACUCCGCCUGGGGAGUACGACCGCAAGGUUGAAACUCAAAGGAAUUGACGGGGGCCCGCACAAGCGGUGGAGCAUGUGGUUUAAUUCGAAGCUACGCGAAGAACCUUACCAGGUCUUGACAUCUUGCGCUAACCUUAGAGAUAAGGCGUUCCCUUCGGGGACGCAAUGACAGGUGGUGCAUGGUCGUCGUCAGCUCGUGUCGUGAGAUGUUGGGUUAAGUCCCGCAACGAGCGCAACCCUUGUUACUAGUUGCCAGCAUUAAGUUGGGCACUCUAGUGAGACUGCCGGUGACAAACCGGAGGAAGGUGGGGACGACGUCAGAUCAUCAUGCCCCUUAUGACCUGGGCUACACACGUGCUACAAUGGACGGUACAACGAGUCGCAAGCUCGCGAGAGUAAGCUAAUCUCUUAAAGCCGUUCUCAGUUCGGACUGUAGGCUGCAACUCGCCUACACGAAGUCGGAAUCGCUAGUAAUCGCGGAUCAGCAUGCCGCGGUGAAUACGUUCCCGGGCCUUGCACACACCGCCCGUCA